This is a long non-coding RNA of Pseudophryne corroboree (corroboree frog), 394 nucleotides long. RefSeq lists it as uncharacterized. The record is from RefSeq and is a predicted model, not a curated record. The transcript has 3 exons. NCBI's taxonomy places the organism in Eukaryota, Metazoa, Chordata, Amphibia, Anura, Myobatrachidae.
ACAGAAAGGGAUGGCAUUCCAUUGUUUUGCAAGCUGUGGUGGAUCAUAAGUAUUGUUUCACAGACGUAUUCAUCGGUUGGCCGGGACGGUCACAUGACGCUCGAGUGCUUGCAAACUCUGAUCUGUACCGGGUAGCAGAGGACAAGCAAGGGGGCUACCUUUUUCCAAGAGAGAAAUCAAAAUUUGUGGAUGGAGUGGAGAUCCCGGUACACAUAAUUGGUGAUGCCGCCUACCCAUUACGACGAUGGCUCAUGAAGGGGUUCACCCAACAUGUCCAGCUGAGCUCCAAUCAAAUUACUUAUACGCACACCCUGAGCUCAGCAAGAAUGGUGGUCGAAAAUGCCUUUGGACGAUUAAAAGGACGUUGGCGCUGUCUUAUGAAGCGCAAUGAUGU